UGAACCGAGUACUGGGGCCAACGGGGAAGCACACCGGAAGGGACUUGUCAGGACGAUUUGGAAAGAGGAAAGGAAGAGGCGGAGCAAUGAACCAUGGCAGCUAUGGUAGCUUUUUGUGGUGGUCUAGGGAGGAGAAAGUUGAAGCACUUCGUGACGGCUGCUGUCUGCCUCACAGAUUCUGGAACUCAUUCAGUGCUGUGGAGAAGUUGUUCACAAUAUAAACAGGUAACCAGCAAUGAGGACCUGCCUGUUCCAAUGGAAAAUCCUUAUAAGGAGCCUCUGAAAAAAUGUAUCUUGUGUGGAAAACGUGUAGAUUAUAAGAAUGUACAGGUCUCUGUGGGAAGAAACAAAAAGAAAUCACAAAAGCAAUUAAGAGAGCUCAAAUAAUGGGAACCAGUACUCAGAGAAAAGGCUGAUUUCGAAAGCUGGAGCAAGAGAAAAUACAAGAUGAGGCUGAAACAUUUAUUUGGUGCUGGAAAAUAAAGAUGGACUCAAAGAAUGAGAGAGAACAUCAUUCACAUGAGAAUUUCAUCUCCUGCUUUUAUGGAAAAGAAGGGAACAGGAUCUGAUAUUUUUCACGUCCUUUUAACUCAGAAUAAUCCGUAUGCCAAGAUGGCAUAUUUUGGAGUGGCAUAUUCUGCCACCCUUCACAGGCAAAAGCAAAACAUAACAAGACAAAACAAAAUAAAACAAAAAACGAAAGACUUACUGUUUCAGCUGCCAAGGUUUCUCUUGGCUCCAGGAAGCCACCUUUCUAGGGUGGUUGACAUCUAACUGAUCGGGCACGGCUAUAAAGGCCUGGCCAUUUUGGCCCAAUGAGGGACAACUCUUGUGGGUCAUAAAUGCCCCAGGGCUCCCUGUAGAUUUGGUUUGGCUGAGGCUUUGCCAGGCUUGCAUGGCUGUUGGAUUGCACCUUCUGCCUAAUCUUACUCCCCCACACCACCCCUCAGCCUCCCAGGUGUUGGUGUCACUGAACCAAACUUGGGUCCACUCAUCUAACAUGCAGCAAAGUCAACCUACUGGCAGUGGGUUGUGGUGAAAGAAAGUGCAGCAUUUUUUGCAGGACACCAAGCAGAGAUAAUUGAAAAGCUAGGGUUCAAAAGACUCAAGGAAAGGAUUUUUAACGGUAACAAUUUUUAAAGGAUUUCUAGGGGUGAGGGUCACAGGGUAUCUGAUCAGCUUGUGGGCAUUCUUCUGAUUAAUUGGUGAUGAAGUAACAGGGUGAUGUUUUGGGAAACUUUGUUUUUUUAAAUUAAUUUAUUUGUUGGUUACUUUGGGUCUUCAUUGCUGUGCGUGGGCUUUCUCUGGCAUGGGCUUUCUCUAGUUGCGGAGAGUGGGGGCUACUCUUCUUUGUGGUGUGCUGGCUUCUCAUUGAGGUGGCUUCUCUUAUUGCAGAGCACAGGCUCUAGGCUUCAGUAGUUGUGGCUUGUAGGCUCUGGAGCGCAGGCCCAGUAGUUGUGGUGCACGGAGUUAGUUGCUCUGCAGCCUGUGGGAUCUUCCCAGACCAGGGAUCGAACCCGUGUCCCCUGCAAUGGCAGGCAGAUUCUUAACCACUGUGCCACCACGGAAGUCCCAGGGGGAUCUCAAUCAUGAGUCUUCUGCUUUCAAUCAGUCUGGGGUCUACAUGCUUGUGGUUAGCUUGUAAUCACCAUCCUCCACGGAGGGGGGUCUUAGUCUCUGCAGAACAAUUCAAAGAUAUGCCUUAGAUUAUUAUCUAUAUCCCUCCAGGAGGAGCUGGGAGUCCUGUGACUCUGCCUUAUGACUGAACUGUUGUUUCUUGACUGCUUUUCUUCUGUUUCUGU
Molecule: RNA transcript, 1802 nt
Organism: Hippopotamus amphibius kiboko
Lineage: Eukaryota; Metazoa; Chordata; Mammalia; Artiodactyla; Hippopotamidae
Gene: MRPS18C
Gene name: mitochondrial ribosomal protein S18C
Exons: 6
Source: RefSeq, a predicted model, not a curated record